UAGUGCAAGCAUGGAAACAUGAGGAUGGACGUUUUUGAAGAUUUGAAGGCUAAAAAUCAGCAUGUGUGUGUGCAAGUGUGUUGACCUAUAACUCCAAACAUCCAUCCACUACACCCAUUACAUCCACUCAUUACCAAACACUCAUCCACUACACCCAUUACAUCCACUCAUUACCAAACACUCACCCACUACACCCAUUACAUCCAUGAUAGGAGCAUAUUUAUGCACCUUAGUUAGCUAGUUCUUAUACAUUUUUGUUAUGUUUUCUUAGUUUAAGUAGUCUUUUAAGCUAUUUUCAUGUGUUUUCAGGUUUUAAGGGCAUAUUACAUAAAAUGAGGCAAUUUGGAGCUUUUUGGAGCAAAAGUGAGCGUGGAUUGAAUAGUACAUGCUUGGAACACAAGGUUUGGAUGAAAUUGAAGAUUUGAAGAUUUGAGGAUUCCUAGUCCAAGAAGGAUUCCUAGUCCAAGGAGGAGUCCUAAUUGAAGAAGGAUUCCUAAUCAACGAGGGAUUCCUAGUUGAAGAUUGAUUCCUAGAAGAAUGAAGAUUCCUUUGCUGCACACCACCACCUCUCAUAAUUCACAAUUCACGCCAGAAAUCUGCCUUGCUCUCUGCCGCAACCCUCACUCACCAUUCUCCCAAAUUUCUGCCAAAAAUCAACCCUUGCCGCACCACCCAUCCAUCCUAAACACCACCAUACAUCCCCCAUCCAUUCUACACCAUCUAAUAACCCAAAGAACCUAUCCAAAGUCUCUGUGCCGCAGCAAGGAGGAAGGAGGAAUCGUGGAUGCACCUGCUGCGAAGUUGGAGCAUUUUAGGUGUUCUCUUUCUUUGGAUUUUAAUGUCUAAAUUUAUGUAUCUUUGCUUUGUGAGUAUGAGGAACUAAACCCCCCUUGGCUAGGGGGGGAUUCGAAACCAUGUUUAUGCUUGCUAUAUGAUUUGAUUACUUCUAAUUGCGUUUCAUAAGUUGUGGAUUCAAUUUGCUUAUCUAUUCAAAUUAAACUGAUUUGUGUGUGUUGAUUGAGAGUGCACGCUUAAUUUUCAUGCAUAAAUCUAAUGCUAGGAUAUAAGGAAUUUUCACCUAAUCGUUAUGAACUUAUAUUCACAAGUAGUAAAGGUUGUUGAUCACAAUCGUGUUAAGUAAAUUCUUGGCAUAAGUUUCAUGCGCUUUCAUAGCUACGAGUUCCUUAUCAAUACUUAUGAUUUCCAUUCAACGUAAUGAUCUUUGAUUGUAUCUUUAUUAUGCGCUUUCAUAUAGAGAACUUUUGAGGAAUAAUUUGAUUGCGAUGCGCUUUUUCCGUCCAAUUCAUUGACAUAAGGGAAAUCUGAAAGUUAAUUUAAGCAGACCUAAUUAACUUGGAGUGUUAAGUAUUCAUGGUUUAUUGAAUUGCGAUUAGAAAUCGUUUUGUAUGCAAGUGUGACAUGUGUGGAGAAGAACCCCUUAGCUAGCUUUCCAUCCAUUCACUUUUAUCAAAUUGCGUUUUUAAAAUCUGUUUAAGUUACAAAGUUUCUGUUUUGUUUUCAACUUCGUCUAAAAUCAAUCCCCCUUUAUUUUGUUGAGUCAUCUUAGUUAGAAAUCAAUUUAGUUUGUGUUUUUAAGUGUCUUGAGUCAAGUUAUACCCUAUUUUCGUCCAAAUUUGUGUUUGUGUUCAAACUGCCCAGAAAGUGUUUUUAAGGCAGUUUUGAGUGUUUAUUUGUUGUUUUUGAGUCUUUUGCUUUGUUUUGGUGUUUUAUAGUUUAGUUUUGCAUUCUUUGAGUCUAGUUUAGUGUUUUAAACUUUGUUUUUACGUUUGGAGUCAGUUUUCAAGUGAUUUAGCAAUCCCUCCUAAUCCCCGGCCUAGAACGAUCCCUACUUACAUGCUUUGCUACAAUUGAUAAAAAGAGGGUUUAAUUUGUGUGCUUGUAUAUUUCGCAUCAAUCCACUCAUUACCAAACACUCAUCCACUACACCCAUUACAUCCACUCAUUACCAAACAUCCACCCACUACAACCAUUACAUCCACUCAUUACCAAACAUACAUCCACUCAUUACCAAACAUUCAUCCACCACACCCAUUACAUCCACUCAUUACCACAACACUCAUCACUACCACCUUAAUUAGAUGGUGGUCCUCUCCCUAGCCUAUAAAUACAUCCACCCUUCACCAUAACAAAGGGGAGAAGACAAUCCACCCAUCCACCCUUCACCAUAACUCACCUAUAUCCAUCCACCACCAUAAUUUACAACUCAUUCAUCAAACCACACUUUGUGCCGCAACAAAGAGAAGAAGGAGGACCCUUGGACGUGCUUGCCAUUCAAGUUGGAUUGUUGGAGCGUUUUUAGGUGUUUUCAUUCUUUUGUUUUCAAUGUCCAAAUUUGUUUAUCUUUGCUUUGUGAGUAUGAGGAACUAAACCCCCCUUAGCUAAGGGGGAAUUCGAAACCAUGUUCAUGCUUGCAAUAUGAUUUGAUUACCUUCAAUUGUGAUUUCAUAAGUUGUGAAUUCAAUUUGUUUAACUGCUUGAUUGAUAACUUAUUCGUGUAUGUUUAUUAAGAGUGCACACUUAGUUUGCAUGCAUGAAUAUUAUGCUAGAGUACAAGGGAGUUUCACCUAAUAGUUACAAACUUAUAUUCACAAGUAAUGGAGGUCGCUUAUAAACGAUCGCGUUAAAUAAAUUCUUGGCAGGAGUUUCAUGCUCAUCAUAGUAACGAAUGCCUCGUCAAUACUUAUAGUUUUCAUAAUGCUUAAUGAUCUUUGAUUGUAUCUUUAUUGUGCUGUUCACGUAAAGAACUUUUGAAGAAUGCUUGAAUUGUUGUAUGCACUUUCCCAUCCAAUUCAAUAACUUUGGAGAACUUGAAGGUUAAUUUAAGCAGACUUAAUUAACCUGGGGUGUUGAGUUUCAUGAUUGAUCGAAAGAACAACUGAAAAUUGUUUUAUGUGCAAGUAUGUCAUGUGUGGAGAAGAACCUCCUAGCUGGCCUUCCAUCCAUUCAAUUUAAUCAAAUUCGUGCAGAUUUUAUUAGUUCUUUAAUUUACUUGUUUUGUUUUCAAAUUCGUCAAAACCAAAACCCCCUUUACUUUAAAGUGUUUUAUUAGUCAAAAUCUAUUUUGAUUUGUGUUUUUAGGUGUCCCAAAAGUGUGUUAGAGUCCAAAUCUGUCCGGUUUGUGUUUUUAGGCAGAUUUGAGCGUUUUUAGCUUGUUUUAAGUCAUUUGAGUUUGUUUUAAGUUCUUUGAGUCUAGUUUAGUGUUUUUAACUUUGCUUAUAUGCUUUUAAGUCAGUUUAGAGAUUUUAGCAAGCCUUCCUAAUCCCUGGUUUAGAACGAUCCCUACUUGCAUUUAUACUACAAUUUGAUAACAAGAGGGUUUGAUUUGUGUGUUAAGUUAAUUUUCGCAUCACCCAACUUCCUCAAUGUGGCCUAUGUCAAAGAAGUACCAAAAUUCGUUGACGGUUAGAUCGAAGUCAAAGAAUUGGAUUAGAUUGACAAAUCCCACCAUCACGUGGCUCGAAUUUGGAGAACAUUGAGCGAGGGCACAUCUCAUGGAGCUGAGCACUUCUUGGAAGAAACAUAACAUAGGGAAAGUAAACCCCAAAACAAAGUAAGAGGGGUGAAACUUGAUGGCUCUUCAAGCCCCACUACACAGCUCACAGCUAUUACCAUCCUUGACAAGCUUCACACGCACUCCCGACGGAAUAGCAUGCCUAUAUGCCUCAAGGAAGUCUCUAAACAAGUCAUCAGAGCUAAUUUUGAAGUAAGUAGCCUUGAA
Molecule: long non-coding RNA, 3739 nt
Filed under: Malus domestica (apple)
Lineage: Eukaryota; Viridiplantae; Streptophyta; Magnoliopsida; Rosales; Rosaceae
Description: long non-coding RNA (MDOM_LNC013242)
Source: RNAcentral